AGAGGUUAUGGAUGGAGGCUCUCUAAUUGCAGUACACGUGUGUAUCAACCCAGACUACUACCUCCUAGAGCCUAACUUGAGGUAUGAUUGAAAGAACAUCCUCUUCUGGGGAACAGCCACAAUACCUACCAUAUGUUCCUGGAAUAAUUACUUUCUUUCUGCAUAAAUUAGAAUGACUCCUGCCUGCUACAUUUCCCCAGAUACCCAGGACCUUCAUGCUGUCACUCUCCAUGACCUGACCAACAUCUAUUUUGAGAAAUUAUUUUAUAUACUCAUUCAAACAGUCAUCUUUUGUGUCCAGAGUUGGUUCCUUCUGGUGGGUUCGUGGUCUCGCUAACUUCAAGAAUGGAGCCACGGACCUUCGCGACACUUCUAUUUAAACUUCUUGGAAGGAUAUCUCAAUAACAUUCCUUUGCUGAGGACCAUAAGAUAGAAGAUGAGAAUCCAUCUGCCCUCUUCUCUGCACCCAGGCUUCAAUCCUGUUUGAUCAUGCAGGGGCUACAAGGCCUUCGACACAAAGAACUUGUCUUAGAUUCUAAUCAGUUUAACAAAUAGGACAGACAGCUGCUGAGCACUGUCUGAGUGACACUGAUUUACAUACAAAUGAACCACCAAUGUCCCCUUCUAUCAACUCAGAAUAAAAUCUGGUUUUAGCAUAUGCAGUCCUACGAGACAUGGUUAAAGGAUAUGAAUGAUAGAUAGAGAUAAAAGAAAUCAAGGACCAUUCCUCCACAAGUCUCCAAAGAGGAAAACAACAAUCGAAGAAAAAAGAGUGAGAGAACA
This 783-nucleotide long non-coding RNA is filed under the name Homo sapiens (human). RNAcentral's name for it is "HSALNT0314038". Lineage: Eukaryota; Metazoa; Chordata; Mammalia; Primates; Hominidae. The record is from RNAcentral.